AUUGAACGCUGGCGGAAUGCUUUACACAUGCAAGUCGAACGGCAGCACGGACUUCGGUCUGGUGGCGAGUGGCGAACGGGUGAGUAAUGUAUCGGAACGUGCCCAGUCGUGGGGGAUAACGUAGUGAAAAUUAUGCUAAUACCGCAUACGAUCGAUGGAUGAAAGCGGGGGAUCGCAAGACCUCGCGCGAUUGGAGCGGCCGGUAUCAGAUUAGGUAGUUGGUGGGGGAAUGGCCCACCAAGCCACCGAACUGUAGCUGGUCUGAGAGGACGACCAGCCACACUGGAACUGAGACACGGUCCAGACUCCUACGGGAGGCAGCAGUGGGGAAUUUUGGACAAUGGGCGAAAGCCUGAUCCAGCCAUUCCGCGUGCAGGAUGAAGGCCCUCGGGUUGUAAACUGCUUUUGUACAGAACGAAAAGGUUUCUACUAAUACUAGGAGCUCAUGACGGUACUGUAAGAAUAAGCACCGGCUAACUACGUGCCAGCCGCCGCCGUAA
Molecule: ribosomal RNA, 500 nt
Filed under: uncultured bacterium
Lineage: Bacteria
Description: partial 16S ribosomal RNA
Rfam family: Bacterial small subunit ribosomal RNA
Source: RNAcentral